This is a long non-coding RNA of Esox lucius (northern pike), 1224 nucleotides long. RefSeq lists it as uncharacterized. The record is from RefSeq and is a predicted model, not a curated record. NCBI's taxonomy places the organism in Eukaryota, Metazoa, Chordata, Actinopteri, Esociformes, Esocidae. The transcript has 9 exons.
GUCAAAUUUCAUUCGUUAUUUUAAGAACCACAAGGAAAGAUUAUUUUCAGAAGAUUGCGGAGCGGUGGGAAAAGUCAUAUGUGAGACUUGAACACUGACCAGGAGCAAGACUGCCAAAGAGUCCGACAACCUAUCAAACUCAUGUCAUCCUUCUCAUCUGCCUCAUCGGAGGAGGAGGAAGAUCAACUAAAACUCUCCCCUAAAAAAAGGAACAUCAAGAAGGCUGCUCCUAAAGCCCCUCCUCCAUUACAAGUUUGUGUGAGACCGAAGACAAACCACCAAAAUGUGUUUUGCCCUCCCAGUUCCAGCUAUCUGAGUGGAGCUGGUUCACAGGCCAGACCACCAUCAGGCUUUCCAGGACUGAAUUGGAUGGAUGAACAGGAGAUCAGCUCAUCGGCAGUUAGGCAAAGGCCGGGGGGCGUGUUUACUGAGAUGAGUUGGAGGCCAGGAGUGGAGGUCCAACCUACCUCAAAUUGAAGAAAAUAACACUCCAGGAAAUCCAAGGCCUUGUUUUCCGACCUGUGAGCAAAGUGUUCAAAACAACUGUACAGGUACUUGUUGUUUAACUGAGGCAUUAUGAUGACUGCACCAAAUGCAUCUCUAUUAACGCUCCUAAACGAGCAAAUAGCACAGCACACUUUGGCUGCCCCUAUGUGGCAACAGCCACUACAAAUGUCAAACAAUUUCUAUGUAAUAUGGGUAGUGGGCAAAUGUUUUUUUUUAAAUUUGAUAUUCGUUGGGAUUUCAUUUAAUAAUGAUAUGUUCUCUUUUGUCCAAUGGCAACGGAAACACUAAUGAGUAUACUCAUGGUCAAGAUGGAACAACUUCAUCAAAAGGUGGAGCAUUUAAGCUCACAGAUACAACCUCAAAACUGUCCUCCAGAGGGGGACAGAAUGUUAAGCAGACGGUGUGGCGUGUUGCGGGAAGGUCUUGACACCGGACAUGGCAACCCAGUUGAACUGGUGCAGGAGGGGGCAGAAGACUGGCAUCCGGUCAAUGCCAGUGAAAGACGUUAUCAGGGGUUUUGAUCUUAAAAACCCACGAUUGCCAGAAAUAAUGGAGGCAAAGUUUGAAAAGGCAGUUCAGAACUGCCUCAGGCUGAGCCAAGACUGACUCGAGACCUGCAGAAGAAGAAUUUGCACAAUUGUUGGGCAUUUUAUUUAAGUUGCUUUUUGUUUUUCUAAAAUGGUACUUUUAGUAAUAAAGUUCAUACUUUAGUCUUUA